AUCUUUCAUGAAUACCAUUCACAAUCCCCUCAGUAAUCCCAGCUUUACCUAUCUUCAAUUUUUUCCUUAACCCAAUCCCAAGUGUCCUCAGCCUCCUCAAUUCUUCAGCUGGCAAAGUCAGUUCAGCUAAACUAGGUGCUCUCUCUUUCUUCUUAUCCUUAUUCUUCAGCCUUUCUUUCUCCUUCUCCUUUAAAAAAUUACCCCUCAGUUCAUGAAACUUCUGUAUACUGUUCCCACCAAGUGUCCUCAGCCUCCUCAACUCUUCAGCUGGCAAAGUCAGCUCAGCUAAACUAGGCGCUCUCUCUUUCUUCUUGUACUCAUCCUCUUUAUUCUUCAACCUUUCUUUCUCCUUCUCCUUUAAAAAAUUAUCCCUCAGUUCAUGAAAUUUCUGUAUACUGUUCCCUAAACCGGGCUGUGGUACCGGGUUUUCGG
RNAcentral lists this long non-coding RNA (432 nucleotides) under Nicotiana benthamiana. RNAcentral's name for it is "long non-coding RNA (NBEN_LNC023124)". The record is from RNAcentral. Lineage: Eukaryota; Viridiplantae; Streptophyta; Magnoliopsida; Solanales; Solanaceae.